This 566-nucleotide long non-coding RNA is filed under the name Fukomys damarensis (Damara mole-rat). RNAcentral's name for it is "lncRNA (ENSFDAG00000026219.1)". The record is from RNAcentral. Lineage: Eukaryota; Metazoa; Chordata; Mammalia; Rodentia; Bathyergidae.
UCAAAUUUAAAGCAAUCCCAGCCUCAGCCUCCUGAAUGCUAGGGUUAUAGGCAUGGGAAUCAUGCCCAGCUUUUGUUUCUGAUGAACGUUGCAGGAGAGCACUUGGGUACCCUUCAGUUUGCACCACUGUUUGACAUAUGUAUCACUCAGGAUAAAAUGAGAGUCUUUGCGGUGGCUAAAGGUAAGAAGCACAUUUUCAUGUAAAAUUAUUAGCCCUUAAUGUAUUUUUUGUGUGCACAGCCAGACAUUUCUGAUCAUAUCCAAACUCCAAACACUAUGGAUAUUCACCCUUAGAACUUGUUCAGGUUUCACUUUAAGGACUCUGUCCUUUCUGUUCUACAAGGACUCAGAUUGUCCAACAAGUGGGCUCUGCAAACUAAUGCAGUGACCUCUGCCCUUCUUACAAUUAAUGAUGCAAGCAGAUGUGUACUAAAUCAGUAUUCCUCAACAUGUUGUUCACAGGGCUACACAUGUUGGAGUGAGCCACAGAAAAUAUUAAGGAGGAUCCUUAAGAUAGAUGGGCUCCUGUUUUCUGAGUGAGAUAAAAUUAACUCACAGUGAUCCCU